CCUACGGGAGGCAGCAGUGGGGGAUAUUGCACAAUGGGGGGAACCCUGAUGCAGCGACGCCGCGUGGGUGAAGAAGCGCCUCGGCGCGUAAAGCCCUGUCAGCAGGGAAGAAAAUGACGGUACCUGAAGAAGAAGCCCCGGCUAACUACGUGCCAGCAGCCGCGGUAAUACGUAGGGGGCAAGCGUUAUCCGGAUUUACUGGGUGGAAAGGGGGCGCAGACGGCGAUGCAAGCCAGGAGUGAAAGCCCGGGGCCCAACCCCGGGACUGAUCUUGGAACUGCGUGGCUGGAGUGCAGGAGGGGCAGGCGGAAUUCCUGGUGUAGCGGUGAAAUGCGUAGAUAUCAGGAGGAACACCGGUGGCGAAGGCGGCCUGCUGGACUGCAACUGACGUUGAGGCCCGAAAGCGUGGGGAGCAAACAGGAUUAGAUACCCUAGUAGUC
Molecule: ribosomal RNA, 440 nt
Filed under: uncultured bacterium
Lineage: Bacteria
Description: partial 16S ribosomal RNA
Rfam family: Bacterial small subunit ribosomal RNA
Source: RNAcentral